AGAACGAACGCUGGCGGCAUGCCUAACACAUGCAAGUCGAACGCCUGUAGCAAUACAGGAGUGGCGCACGGGUGAGUAACGCGUGGGAACCUACCCUGGAGUGGGGGAUAACCGAGAGAAAUUUCGGCUAAUACCGCAUACGACCUGAGGGUGAAAGAUUUAUCGCUCUAGGAGGGGCCCGCGUCGGAUUAGCUAGUUGGUGGGGUAACGGCCUACCAAGGCAACGAUCCGUAGCUGGUCUGAGAGGAUGAUCAGCCACACUGGGACUGAGACACGGCCCAGACUCCUACGGGAGGCAGCAGUGGGGAAUAUUGGACAAUGGGGGCAACCCUGAUCCAGCAAUGCCGCGUGAGUGAUGAAGGCCUUAGGGUUGUAAAGCUCGUUUCGGCGGGGACGAUGAUGACGGUACCGCAGAAGAAGCCCCAGCUAACUUCGUGCCAGCAGCCGC
Molecule: ribosomal RNA, 448 nt
Filed under: uncultured bacterium
Lineage: Bacteria
Description: SSU rRNA
Rfam family: Bacterial small subunit ribosomal RNA
Source: RNAcentral